This 314-nucleotide unclassified non-coding RNA is filed under the name plant metagenome. Its description in RNAcentral is "partial contains 5.8S ribosomal RNA, internal transcribed spacer 2, and large subunit ribosomal RNA". The stretch from base 1 to 105 matches the Rfam family "5.8S ribosomal RNA", at positions 50 to 154 of the family's 154-position model. The record is from RNAcentral.
GAAAUGCGAUAAGUAAUGUGAAUUGCAGAAUUCCGUGAAUCAUCGAAUCUUUGAACGCACAUUGCGCCCCCUGGUAUUCCGGGGGGCAUGCCUGUCCGAGCGUCAUUGCUGCCCUCAAGCACGGCUUGUGUGUUGGGCUUCCGUCCCUGGCAACGGGGACGGGCCCAAAAGGCAGUGGCGGCACCAUGUCUGGUCCUCGAGCGUAUGGGGCUUUGUCACCCGCUCCCGUAGGUCCAGCUGGCAGCUAGCCUCGCAACCAAUCUUUUUAACCAGGUUGACCUCGGAUCAGGUAGGGAUACCCGCUGAACUUAAGA